This 251-nucleotide ribosomal RNA is filed under the name uncultured prokaryote. RNAcentral's name for it is "partial 16S rRNA". It matches the Rfam family "Bacterial small subunit ribosomal RNA", at positions 525 to 775 of the family's 1533-position model. The record is from RNAcentral.
ACGGAGGAUGCGAGCGUUAUCAGGAUUUAUUGGGUUUAAAGGGUGCGUAGGUGGACUGUUUAGUCAGUGGUGAAAUGCUGAUGCUCAACGUUAGCAUUGCCGUUGAAACUGACAGUCUUGAGAGUGAUUGAGGCAGGCGGAAUGUGUGGUUGAGUGGAGAAAAACAAAGAAACCACGCAGACCUCCAAUGGCGAGGGCAUCAUCCAAAGCCACAACUGACUCUGAAGCACGAAAGCGUGGGGAUCAAACAG